Non-coding RNA from Odocoileus virginianus texanus, 374 nucleotides. Lineage: Eukaryota; Metazoa; Chordata; Mammalia; Artiodactyla; Cervidae. The record is from RefSeq and is a predicted model, not a curated record.
GCCAGGUCAGACCAUCGCUGGAGUUCCCUGGAGGAGGAGGUUUGGGGAAGGCAAGGCUGAGUCACAGCAGCGAGAGCCGACAGGGAGCGGGGAUGGUCCAAUGACCUCACGCUUUCAUCUGAGCCUGAUCACACUUGAACCUUCAGUGUAAUUUCCCUGACAAUCCCUUGAGGGCGUCCUUCACAGUCACCCCACCUUACAGAGGGGGAAACUGAGGCUCAAAGACACGCAAUGCCUGCAUCUACGCCGUAUCCCCAGCCUGCCAACCGUGCCCGAUCACGCGCCCACCCCCCAUGCGGUGGCCCUGGCUAUCGCGGGGACCGACGUGUCCCCCCAGUGCCUCUUGCUUUCCUGCCUGUUUCGGGAAAUCCUGG